RNAcentral lists this transfer RNA (126 nucleotides) under Candidatus Woesearchaeota archaeon. Its description in RNAcentral is "tRNA-Met". Lineage: Archaea; Nanobdellati; Candidatus Woesearchaeota. The record is from RNAcentral.
AGCGGAGUAGGGCAGUCAGGAGUGCCCGCAGGGCUCAUAACCCUGAGGUCGGUGGUUCAAAAGCCAGUUACACUAAGUGAAUUGUAUUCAAGUUAGUGUAGUAGCUUGAAAGUCCACCCUCCGCUA